Molecule: unclassified non-coding RNA, 686 nt
Filed under: Oligophagozyma castellii
Lineage: Eukaryota; Fungi; Ascomycota; Saccharomycetes; Saccharomycetales; Saccharomycetaceae
Description: [Candida] castellii sequence contains 18S rRNA gene, ITS1, 5.8S rRNA gene, ITS2, 28S rRNA gene
Rfam family: 5.8S ribosomal RNA (bases 268-421)
Source: RNAcentral
GUAACAAGGUUUCCGUAGGUGAACCUGCGGAAGGAUCAUUAUUGAAUCUAUACCUUUUUGAAAGGGGGUCUGCUCACUGGCCUGCGCUUAAUUGCGCGGCUUUGUGGCCGGACUGGUUUUCGGACCAACUCUUUCGAAAAAACAUACACACAGUGGAGUUUUUCUUCAACUUGCUUCUUUGGGGAGACUUUGUGCUUCCCAGAGGUAACAAACACAAACAAUAGUGAAAUCAGUGAGUCUAAACCUAUGAAAUUCAGAAAUAUUUAAAACUUUCAACAACGGAUCUCUUGGUUCUCGCAUCGAUGAAGAACGCAGCGAAAUGCGAUACGUAAUGUGAAUUGCAGAAUUCCGUGAAUCAUCGAAUCUUUGAACGCACAUUGCGCCUUUUGGUAUUCCAGGAGGCAUGCCUGUUUGAGCGUCAUUUCCUUCUCAAACACCUAGUGUUUGGUAGUGAGUGAUACUCUUCACAGAGUUAACUUGAAAUUGUGGGCCUAAGGGCCGCGCAGCCAAAGCCAGGGAAGUUCAUUCUCUGUCUAGGGCCGUUAAUUGUCGAUUUAGGUUGUACCAACUUCGGCAAGGCACUGACAGAAAUUAGCAUUCUGAGCUGGAGCGCGAGUCCAGGCAAACAAACGUCUCAAAGUUUGACCUCAAAUCAGGUAGGACUACCCGCUGAACUUAAGCAUAUC